UUGUAAUCAGAUGAAAGUUAUUUCUCUAAGUCCUAUUCUGAACACCAUAUUCACUUAAAAAUAGCGUGUGUUCUUUGAUGCAUCAUCAAUGUAAAAGUAGUCAAGUAUUAAUAUAAAGAUUUAAUCUUAUAAAGUCAGUUGACAUUGUAACUGAUCACUGACAGUGUCUAAGUAAGGCUUGUUUCCCUGUUGCUGUGCUAUCAGUUGGAGAACCUGGUCCAAAGUUCUCCACGACCCUAUCACACUUGGCGGUGUACUUCAUGACACUUGGCGGUGUACUUCAUUCCACACUUGGCAGUGUACUUCAUGACCCAUUCCACACAACCAGCAGAAGGAAGUUAAAUUGCGUGUAAUCCGUUUCACUGGGUUGGAUAUGUAAGCAUCCUGAAAGACAUUGUUUCUUCUUCCUCUAGAACCAUGCAACACUCAUCCAAAGUCUUCUAAAGAAUUUUAGUCAGACCUUCAAAAUAUUUGAGAUUUUUGUAGCUAAUCCUCAUGCUUGGCUUCUUGAAAUACUAACAAAUAAUAUUGACAGAGUAUUAUUAUUUCUUAUUCAACACUGAGGUUUUCACGGAGAGCGAUGUUACAGAAGACUGGGUCUUUCCACCAGCUUACGUCAGGGGAACACGGUACAUUCUACUUACGCAACUUCUCCAGUAGAUUGAAAGCUCCUAGGAGGCAGGGGCUCCGUCUCUAUGGCUUUCAAGCCUUCAACAUUUGGCCUGAUUCAGAAUAUGCAGCCACCGCCCAAUACACACUUGAUGUUUUCACUGCCUCGGAGCACAUGGCCCCGAACAUUGCUAAUCCACAGCUCCCCAGUGCACAGACUGGGAGUGAGCAUUUCUGUCCCAAUUCCAAACUUCCGUGACAAUGACUCUGAUCUGCCCGGCUCAGGCCAAGGAGGGACACUCUUCACCUAGUAUUUUGUGUGAUAGCAGGGCUGGGGGGAAAGGCAUUACAAAACUGAUUUUACUCUUUCUAAGGAAAAAUGUAUGCUGCAUAUACUGUUAGCCAAAACCACGUUAUACGUUGGGCUCUACCCUCUGAGGUUUCCUUCCUUUAAGGGGGAGAGCAGUAGCAGACAGGCCUUCCCCAUCAAGCACAUCUCUCUGGGCACCCAGAACCUUCUUCUAACCUCUGCGUUAAGACCGGCCUCAAAAUACUGCAGCAUGAUCCGCUGCCUCCAGUGCCUUCUGCAAGCCCUUUCGUGAGUGAUGAAAUGGGAAGAACCUAAAGUGGAGUCAGUCAUCAGCAGCCGUUCAGGGGUGUAAAAGGAGCCGUCCAAAGUCACUGAGCUCUGACACGCGGGGAGACAGAGUUCCAUGACACCUGACCUCGCCACACAGCAUGACCACCCCGGGGAGGGCGCAGCUGGCGGAGGGGGGGGGACUGGUGGGGCUGUGGGAAAGCACCGGUGGGGAUGGGGGGAGCCCUCCUCCGUGCAGUCUGUUCCCCUCCGUACUGGGUUGGCACGCAGAUCGGAAAACGCACGUCUGAAUCUAUUUCCGGCUUCUAAAUGUGUGAAGGAGACACAUAACUUUAUUAUCUUAUUUUUGUCAAGUUAGAGACAGAUGCCCCUAGAGCUUAUGCUCUAGAAGAAGUUCCUGUUCUUCAGGGCUGCAUCUUUGGAAGCAAAAAUCAAAGACAAAUAGGACAUCUCCUCUAAGUUUUCCAGACAAAUAUUAGCAAUCAAAAGAAGAGAUAGAUGGGGCGCCUGGGUGGCUCAGUGGGUUAAGCCUCUGCCUUCGGCUCAGGUCAUGAUCCCAGGGUCCUGGGAUCGAGUCCCACAUCAGGCUGUGCUCAGUGGGGAGCCUGCUUCCCCAUCUCCCUCUGCCUGCCUCUCUG
Molecule: long non-coding RNA, 1845 nt
Filed under: Mustela putorius furo (domestic ferret)
Lineage: Eukaryota; Metazoa; Chordata; Mammalia; Carnivora; Mustelidae
Description: lncRNA (ENSMPUG00000025053.1)
Source: RNAcentral